GCAGGGAGAAGCUUGGUGGGAGUCUAGAAAGUUCUUAUUAGCUAUCAGAAUAUCUGACUAUUCAGUAUUCUAAAUAUUGUGUCCUCUCUGUGUGCUAAGUCAGUGGUUCACAAAGUGUGUGUCUGGACCACCAGCAGCCACAUCACCUAGGAACUUGAUUAGAGAUGCACAUUCUCAGACCCCAUCCCAGAAUUGCGGAACCAGAAAUUGUAUUCCCUGGGGGCAUGUAGUGCUGGAGACAAACUGAUCAUUCUGUCACAGAAUGUCGGAAGAAUACCUAGCCCACAGUCCAAGACAGUAGGCUUCAUGUCCAGCAAAGAGCCCAACGCAAGGCUUGAACUCACAACC
Molecule: long non-coding RNA, 348 nt
Organism: Leopardus geoffroyi (Geoffroy's cat)
Lineage: Eukaryota; Metazoa; Chordata; Mammalia; Carnivora; Felidae
Exons: 3
Source: RefSeq, a predicted model, not a curated record